Quercus lobata is the source of this 1567-nucleotide RNA transcript. It is a transcript of the gene named cytochrome P450 76A2-like, with no coding region annotated. Lineage: Eukaryota; Viridiplantae; Streptophyta; Magnoliopsida; Fagales; Fagaceae. The record is from RefSeq and is a predicted model, not a curated record. The transcript has 2 exons.
GACUUGGGAAAAAUCUUAUUCUUGAAGUUAUGGAGUUUUCUUCAAAUUUCUUCCUUCUUUCCUUGAUAUUCUUCUUCUCAUCAGCUCUACUCCUCUUUCUCCACCGUCGAAUUAAGCCCAGCCUUAACUGCCGCCUUCCUCCAGGACCGCUAGGAUGGCCAAUACUUGGCAACAUGCUCGAUCUUGGAACAAUGCCACACCGUACCCUAUUUGGUCUAAGACCCAAAUAUGGUGAUGUUAUAUGGUUAAGACUGGGCUCAAUGAACUCUAUGGCAAUCCUCUCAGCCAAAGCAGCCACAGAGUUCUUCAAGAACCAUGACCUCUCUUUUGCUGAACGCACCAUCACUGAAACCAUGCGUGUCCAUGACUACCACAAGGGCUCUUUAGCCUUAGCCCCUUAUGGUUCCUAUUGGCGUGUUCUUAGGCGCUUGGUCACAGUCGACAUGUUAGUGCACAAGCGCAUCAACGACACCGCAAUUAUACGUAGAAAAUGUUUGGACAACAUGUUGUUAUGGAUUGAGGAAGAGGCAUGUAAACUGGAAGCUAAAUGUGGUCUUCAUGUGGCAAGGUUUGUGUUCCUCAUGACCUUCAAUUUACUUGGAAACCUUAUGUUAUCACAAGACUUGCUUGAUCCUCAGUCGAAGGACGGGUCGGAGUUUUUCACGGCGAUGAUGGGACUAAUGGAGUGGUCCGGGUAUGCUAACAUGUCAGACUAUUUUCCAUGGCUAAGGUGGUUGGACUUGCAGGGCCUUAGGAAGAACAUGGAGAGGGAUCUUGGGAAAGCUUUGGAGAUUGCAUCCAAGUUUGUGAAGAAGCGCUUGAUGGAUAGGCAACAAGGGGAAGAGAAGAAGGAUUUCUUGGAUUUGUUGCUAGAAUUUGAAGGCAAUGGAAUUGAGGAGCCUGCCAAAAUUUCUGAUAGGGACCUAAAUAUUUUCAUUUUGGAACUAUUUAUGGCUGGUUCAGAAACAACAAGCAGCACUACUGAGUGGGCACUAACUGAGCUCCUACGCAAUCCUAAUUCCAUGAUUAAGGCUAAAGCUGAGCUUAUGCAAGUAGUAGGAGCAAACCACAAGGUUGAGGAAAGUGACAUUGACAACCUUCCAUACCUACAAGCUAUAAUAAAGGAAACACUCCGAUUACAUCCUCCAAUUCCAUUCCUAGUUCCUCGAAAAGCAAUUAGAGAUACCAACUUUAUGGGGUUUGAGUCUUUGACAUACCCAAAAAUACACAAGUUCUUGUAAAUGCUUGGGCUAUUGGAAGAGACUCAGAUGUGUGGGAUGACCCUUUGUCUUUCAAGCCCGAGAGGUUUAUAGGCACAAAAAUAGAUUACAAGGGUCAACAUUAUGAGCUAAUCCCAUUUGGAGCUGGGAGGAGAAUGUGUGCAGGUGUGCCUUUGGCUCAUAGAGUCCUUCACCUUAUUUUGGGCUCAUUGCUUCACAAAUUUGAUUGGGAGCUUGAUGGCAAUGUGACUCGAGAGACGAUGGACAUGAAGGACCGGUUGGGCAUAACAAUGAGAAAGAGUGAACCAUUACUGGUAGUGCCUAAAAAAUGUAUUGUUAUAGACUAA